Molecule: long non-coding RNA, 890 nt
Organism: Hippocampus zosterae (dwarf seahorse)
Lineage: Eukaryota; Metazoa; Chordata; Actinopteri; Syngnathiformes; Syngnathidae
Exons: 3
Source: RefSeq, a predicted model, not a curated record
ACUUUUGAGCUUGUUAAAAAGAACACGGAGUCAAAAAAAAAGUAAUAUCAUCAUCUGUCAAAUUAUGGGAGUGCUUCAGCCCCUCUAAAAAUGGGCUGGACAUGGCUAUGGACCAAAGACUUUUGCACCGUACUGUACAUUGACGACUCAAUGGUGUGACAAUACAUUUUGUUUGGGUUCCAGCGAGGAACCAGAAUUUACAUUUUCAGGAACAAAUACUCCAAAUGGUGACACACCAUGCAUUAAAUUGCCAACUAGAUCGUAAACAAUGUGAAAUGGAAAGUUCUCUGAAAGAUACAAUCAAAACUGAACAUUGCAUAGCUUACAGAUGCACUGAUGUACCACACACACACACACACACACACACACACACUAACAUCAGCGAUGAUGGCAGUCAAGUUGGGAAUGUGUGAAGUGAGCGUUUCGCGCCGUGUCUUCUCAACGGAUGUGUAUGAGGGGGGAAAAAAAAGCGCUUUUUGUGUGUUAGUGUGUGUGAACCAUUUCCCUGCUAUCGCUGAUGUUUACAUUAUUCAUCAGUUCCACGCUAUUGUGCUCCUCUCUCAUCAAUAACAAAUGGGCAACAUUUGGUAGCAGGUUGCUUCUUACGAUAUGCUCGAUUCUUGAUACACCUGGAUGGCGCUUUUAUGUCUGUCAGCAAUGUUGCGUGCACUUGUGGGUUUUAUUGUGCGAGCGUGUCUGAGUGUUAUGGCAGAAAGCUGCGAAAGUGACAUCCACCAAGGAUGCAACCGGCAUGCUGUGGAACUUCGCAGGUCGAGCGCAAUCUGUUCCAGUGCAUAGCAAACAAUGGGAAGCAGUACCUCGGCAGCAACAGUCUUGGAAGAGGAUGUGUGAACAUCCCAGUGGAGGCGAUCUCACACUAAUGGACGCGG